Molecule: long non-coding RNA, 901 nt
Filed under: Androctonus crassicauda
Lineage: Eukaryota; Metazoa; Arthropoda; Arachnida; Scorpiones; Buthidae
Source: RNAcentral
AAUUAAUAAACUACAGACUGGACUUUACAAAUAUAUAUUUUUGUCUCUAACAAAUAAACUAAUAUCAAUUAUUAAGUAAGAAAUCCUUGACUUAAUAAUCGAUGCUUCUGUGGGAAUCCAUACCAUGCAUAGGUGAAUGAGUAAUCCUCUUCAUUUUCUUGUAUUUUUUUUUUCUUUAUCAAAAUGAUGAAAAUAUUGUAUAAUGGGUUAAAAACAUCCGGAAAAAAGAUGAUCUUGGAUCUUGCACUAAUAAAUACACCUCAUUUUCUCAUAGUUAUGUAAGCAUUGGAUGAAUUAGUGAAUAGGACAAAAUAAAUUAACCUCCAGAGUCCAAAAGUAAGAAUCAUUCACCAAUUUAACAAAAACUAACACAAGACCCAAGAAUGUGAUAUCACCAAGGUGAAAGGGAAAACUGCCAGGUGAAAGGUGUUGACAGGAUGGAAUGUAGAGGUUGAGCAGUUGAAGUCUUGACUCCAGGGAGAAGAGUAUAAAUUCAGUUCUAAAAACAAAAGUUGAAGUUCUGACUCCUGAAAGAUAAGGGAGAGAAGUUCAACUCACAAGAAAGGAAUAAUCCAGACAAGAUUGCUGAACUUUAUUUUUGAAAAGAAAAUCAAGGAAUGAGAUAUGAUAAAGGAAGAUUGUUCCUGUAUCACCAAUUUCUUCUGGAUAUACACUAUACAUAAUGACAACUACAUAACUGGAAAACAGGCAGAGUUGAUAGCAGCAAAGAGGCUUAAUUGUUACAAGGCUAACCCAACUAUUCAUAAACAUUCUCUUCAGUUUGCUAAGAAAAAGGUACUACUGUCAGUGCCCAUAUAUAUAGGGUUAUUCAAAAAGAAAGAGCAGAUUUCAAACAUUUAUUUCUUCCAGGCUGCAGAGGAUGGAGGCAUGAUUCUGGCGU